This 84-nucleotide transfer RNA is filed under the name Dialister sp. CAG:486. RNAcentral describes it as "transfer RNA-Leu(TAG)". It matches the Rfam family "tRNA". From Rfam's summary of the family: Transfer RNA (tRNA) molecules are approximately 80 nucleotides in length. Their secondary structure includes four short double-helical elements and three loops (D, anti-codon, and T loops). The record is from RNAcentral. RNAcentral also lists the same sequence under 3 other names. Lineage: Bacteria; Bacillati; Bacillota; Negativicutes; Veillonellales; Veillonellaceae.
GCGAGCGUGGCGGAAUUGGUAGACGCACAGGAUUUAGGAUCCUGCGCCUUGUGCAUGGGGGUUCGAGUCCCUUCGCUCGCACCA